RNAcentral lists this transfer RNA (74 nucleotides) under Rhodobiaceae bacterium. RNAcentral's name for it is "tRNA-Gly". It matches the Rfam family "tRNA". Rfam says of the family: Transfer RNA (tRNA) molecules are approximately 80 nucleotides in length. Their secondary structure includes four short double-helical elements and three loops (D, anti-codon, and T loops). RNAcentral also lists the same sequence under 1 other name. Lineage: Bacteria; Pseudomonadati; Pseudomonadota; Alphaproteobacteria; Hyphomicrobiales; Rhodobiaceae. The record is from RNAcentral.
GCGGGUGUAGCUCAAUGGUCGAGCAAUAGCCUUCCAAGCUGAAGAUGAGGGUUCGAUUCCCUUCACCCGCUCCA